UGGGGAAUUUUGCACAAUGGGGGAAACCCUGAUGCAGCGACGCCGCGUGAUUUAGAAGGCCUUCGGGUUGUAAAAAUCUUUUCUAUGGGAAGAAAAUGACAGUACCAUAGGAAUAAGGACCGGCUAAUUACGUGCCAGCAGCCGCGGUAAUACGUAAGGUCCGAGCGUUGUCCGGAAUCAUUGGGCGUAAAGGGUACGUAGGCGGGUAAGCAAGUUAGAAGUGAAAUCCUAUAGCUCAACUAUAGUAAGCUUUUAAAACUGCUCAUCUUGGGGUAUGGAAGGGAAGAUGGAAUUCCUAGUGUAGCGGUGAAAUGCGCAGAUAUUAGGAGGAAUACCGGUGGCGAAGGCGACUUUCUGGCCAUAACCUGACGCUGAGGUACGAAAGCGUGGGUAGCAAACAGG
This 402-nucleotide ribosomal RNA is filed under the name bacterium. Its description in RNAcentral is "partial 16S ribosomal RNA". It matches the Rfam family "Bacterial small subunit ribosomal RNA", at positions 355 to 776 of the family's 1533-position model. The record is from RNAcentral.